Molecule: ribosomal RNA, 459 nt
Filed under: uncultured bacterium
Lineage: Bacteria
Description: partial 16S ribosomal RNA
Rfam family: Bacterial small subunit ribosomal RNA
Source: RNAcentral
CCUACGGGUGGCAGCAGUGAGGAAUAUUGGUCAAUGGGCGGGAGCCUGAACCAGCCAAGUCGCGUGAGGGAUGAAGGCACAGCGUAUUGUAAACUUCUUUUGUCAGGGAACAAACGGGGUGACUAGUCGCCUGUUGCGGGUACCGCAAGAAAAAGCAUCGGCUAAUUCCGUGCCAGCAGCCGCGGUAAUACGGAGGAUCCGGGCGUUAUCCGGAUUUAUUGGGUUUAAAGGGUGCGCAGGCGGCCUGUUAAGCUAGUGGUAAAAUCCCGGGGCUCAACCCCGGCCAGCCGUUGAAACUGGGGGGGUGGAGUGGGCGAGAGGUACGCGGAAGGCGUGGUGUAGCGGUGAAAUGCUUAGAUAUCGCGAAGAACCCCGAGUGCGAAGGCAGCGUACCGGAGCCACACUGACGCUGAGGCACGAAAGCGUGGGUAUCGAACAGGAUUAGAUACCCGGGUAGUC